Molecule: ribosomal RNA, 549 nt
Filed under: uncultured Septoglomus
Lineage: Eukaryota; Fungi; Glomeromycota; Glomeromycetes; Glomerales; Glomeraceae
Description: SSU rRNA
Rfam family: Eukaryotic small subunit ribosomal RNA
Source: RNAcentral
UUGGAGGGCAAGUCUGGUGCCAGCAGCCGCGGUAAUUCCAGCUCCAAUAGCGUAUAUUAAAGUUGUUGCAGUUAAAAAGCUCGUAGUUGAAUUUCGGAAUCAAUUUGUUGGUCGUGCCUCGGUACGUACUGGUAUUAUUGGUUUCUACCUUCUGAAGAACCUUGAUGUCAUUAAUUUGGUGUCUUGGGGAAUCAGGACUGUUACUUUGAAAAAAUUAGAGUGUUUAAAGCAAGCAUACGCUUGAAUACAUUAGCAUGGAAUAAUGAAAUAGGACGUUUGAUUCUAUUUUGUUGGUUUCUAGGAUCGACGUAAUGAUUAAUAGGGAUAGUUGGGGGCAUUAGUAUUCAAUUGUCAGAGGUGAAAUUCUUGGAUUUAUUGAAGACUAACUACUGCGAAAGCAUUUGCCAAGGAUGUUUUCAUUAAUCAAGAACGAAAGUUAGGGGAUCGAAGACGAUCAGAUACCGUCGUAGUCUUAACCAUAAACUAUGCCGACUAGGGAUCGGAUGAUGUUAAUUUUUUUAAUGACUCAUUCGGCGCCUUACGGGAAAC